GGGCGGUUUGUUAAGACCGAUGUGCCCCCCGGGCUCAACCUGGGAACUGCAUUGGUGACUGGCAAGCUAGAGUAUGGCAGAGGGGGGUAGAAUUCCACGUGUGUGAGCAGUGAAAUGCGUAGAGAUGUGGAGGAAUACCGAUGGCGAAGGCAGCCCCCUGGGCCAAUACUGACGCUCAUGCACGAAAGCGUGGGGAGCAAACAGGAUUAGAUAUACCCUGGUAGUCCACGCCCUAAACGAUGUCAACUAGUUGCCCUUGGGGAUUUCAUUUCCUUAGUAACGUAGCUAACGCGUGAAGUUGACCGCCUGGGGAGUACGGUCGCAAGAUUAAAACUCAAAGGAAUUGACGGGGACCCGCACAAGCGGAUGGAUGAUGUGGAUUAAUUCGAUGCAACGCGAAAAACCUUACCUACCCUUGACAUGGUCGGAACCUUGGAGAGAUCUGAGGGUGCUCGAAAGAGAACCGAUACACAGGUGCUGCAUGGCUGUCGUCACGCUCGUGUCGUGAGAUGUUGGGUUAAGUUCCCGCAACGAGCGCAACCCUUGUCCUUAGUUGCUACGCAAGAGCACUCUAGGGAGACUGCCGGUGACAAACCGGAGGAAGGUGGGGAUGACGUCAAGUCCUCAUGGCCCUUAUGGGUAGGGCUUCACACGUCAUACAAUGGUCGGAACAGAGGGUCGCCAACCCGCGAGGGGGAGCUAAUCCCAGAAAACCGAUCGUAGUCCGGAUUGCACUCUGCAACUCGAGUGCAUGAAGCUGGAAUCGCUAGUAAUCGCGGAUCAGCAUGCCGCGGUGGAAUACGUUCCCGGGUCUUGUACACACCGCCCGUCACACCAUGGGAGUGGGUUUUACCAGAAGUGGCUAUUAACCGCAAGGAGGAC
RNAcentral lists this ribosomal RNA (882 nucleotides) under Burkholderia sp. RNAcentral describes it as "bacterial SSU rRNA". It matches the Rfam family "Bacterial small subunit ribosomal RNA", at positions 573 to 1451 of the family's 1533-position model. The record is from RNAcentral. Lineage: Bacteria; Pseudomonadati; Pseudomonadota; Betaproteobacteria; Burkholderiales; Burkholderiaceae.